GACGAACGCUGGCGGCGUGCUUAACACAUGCAAGUCGAACGGAAAGGCCCUGCUUUUGUGGGGUGCUCGAGUGGCGAACGGGUGAGUAACACGUGAGUAACCUGCCCUUGACUUUGGGAUAACUUCAGGAAACUGGGGCUAAUACCGGAUAGGAGCUCCUGCUGCAUGGUGGGGGUAGGAAAGUUUCGGCGGUUGGGGAUGGACUCGCGGCUUAUCAGCUUGUUGGUGGGGUAGUGGCUUACCAAGGCUUUGACGGGUAGCCGGCCUGAGAGGGUGACCGGCCACAUUGGGACUGAGAUACGGCCCAGACUCCUACGGGAGGCAGCAGUGGGGAAUAUUGCACAAUGGGCGGAAGCCUGAUGCAGCAACGCCGCGUGCGGGAUGACGGCCUUCGGGUCGUAAACCGCUUUCGCCUGUGACGAAGCGUGAGUGACGGUAAUGGGUAAAGAAGCACCGGCUAACUACGUG
RNAcentral lists this ribosomal RNA (468 nucleotides) under uncultured bacterium. RNAcentral's name for it is "partial 16S ribosomal RNA". It matches the Rfam family "Bacterial small subunit ribosomal RNA", at positions 28 to 507 of the family's 1533-position model. The record is from RNAcentral.